AGCGAACGCUGGCGGCAGGCUUAACACAUGCAAGUCGAACGCCAUCUUCGGAUGGAGUGGCAGACGGGUGAGUAAUGCGUAGGAAGCUACCCGAUAGAGGGGGAUACCAGUUGGAAACGACUGUUAAUACCGCAUAAUGUCUACGGACCAAAGUGUGGGACCUUCGGGCCACAUGCUAUCGGAUGCGCCUACGUGGGAUUAGCUAGUUGGUGGGGUAAUGGCUCACCAAGGCGACGAUCCCUAGCUGGUUUGAGAGGAUGAUCAGCCACACUGGAACUGAGACACGGUCCAGACUCCUACGGGAGGCAGCAGUGGGGAAUAUUGGACAAUGGGCGCAAGCCUGAUCCAGCCAUGCCGCGUGUGUGAAGAAGGCCUCGGUGUAAGCACUUCUAGCGAGGAGGAAGGGUAGGUGGUGUUAAGUAGUACGACAGUCAUCUUGACGUUAC
Molecule: ribosomal RNA, 446 nt
Filed under: uncultured bacterium
Lineage: Bacteria
Description: bacterial SSU rRNA
Rfam family: Bacterial small subunit ribosomal RNA
Source: RNAcentral